This 192-nucleotide ribosomal RNA is filed under the name uncultured prokaryote. Its description in RNAcentral is "partial 16S ribosomal RNA". The record is from RNAcentral.
GAAUGCCAGCAAUCUCUUUUUGAGUCUCAUUUUGCAUCUCGGCAAUCUCUUUCUGAUUGUCCAGUUGCAUUUUAGUAAGCUCUUUUUGAUUCUCAAAUCCGGCGUCAACCAUACCAGCAGAGGAAGCAUCAGCACCAGCACGCUCCCAAGCAUUAAGCUCAGGAAAUGCAGCAGCAAGAUAAUCACGAGUAU